CUGGACAAGACUAGCUGUCAGAAACUUGGCAAGAAAAUAUCUGACAGUGAGCGCAUUCAGCCAACCUCCAUUCUAAAGGCCUCACACAGGAAGAGGGUAUCGCUGCCUCCAUUGGGUAAGGUGACCCGUGAGGGAGUCAACCCCAGGCUCACCCCAAAUGGAAAGGGUGCAGCCGCACACCAGCCCUGCAUUCUCCUCAUCAACAGCCAC
Molecule: long non-coding RNA, 210 nt
Filed under: Sinocyclocheilus anshuiensis
Lineage: Eukaryota; Metazoa; Chordata; Actinopteri; Cypriniformes; Cyprinidae
Description: lncRNA (ENSSANG00000026438.1)
Source: RNAcentral